UAUAGGUUGUAGGGAACUGAAAGGGACCGACCUUCGGGGAGCCUAGUACAGGUGUUGCAUGGCUGUCGUCAGCUCGUGUCGUGAGAUGUUCGGUUAAGUCCGCUAACGAGCGCAACCCUCGUCGUAUGUUAUAUGUGUCAUACGAGACUGCCGGUAAAAGCCGGAGGAAGGUGAGGAUGAUGUCAAGUCAGCAUGACCUUUAUAUCCAGGGCUACACACACGCUACAAUGGUCUGUACAAUGGGUAGCCAAGCCGCGAGGCGGAGCCAAUCCUGAAAGCAGGCCUCAGUUCAGAUUGCAGUCUGCAACUCGACUGCAUGAAGCCGGAGUUGCUAGUAACCGCAGGUCAGCAAUACUGCGGUGAAUACGUUCCCGGGUCCUU
This 381-nucleotide ribosomal RNA is filed under the name uncultured Anaerolineaceae bacterium. RNAcentral describes it as "bacterial SSU rRNA". It matches the Rfam family "Bacterial small subunit ribosomal RNA", at positions 987 to 1382 of the family's 1533-position model. The record is from RNAcentral. Lineage: Bacteria; Bacillati; Chloroflexota; Anaerolineae; Anaerolineales; Anaerolineaceae.